GAACUUGGAGCCCGAAAACCCAAAUUUGAAUCUGGACCUUUUCAUGAUCAUCAGUGUGGUUUGGGCAAGUUGCUUAACUGCUUUUAUACCCACUACUUAUCCAUAAAUGCUUACUUCAUCCAGAAUCUGAAACCCCAAUGAGACAGUGCUCUUGAAAGUGCUCUGCAAACACUGAAAUACUGUAUCCAUGUGAGACAAGACCUGCUGGAGACUUUUCUAGCGGAGCACCUUUCUCGUAGUUGCUUGGCUAUUCAAAAAUUGAAUUCAAUUCAACAAAUAGGUAUUGAAUGGCUGGUAGGAAAUAGACAUUAUGCUAGGUGCUGGCCAUACAAAGAUGAAGACAUAGAUCAGGUAACUUAAGGAGUGCUGAGAUUUGUAAGGGGAGGUGGACAUUUACACAAGGGGAUACUACAAGGACAAUAAGAGAUGCAGCUUCAAGGGACAGAAACAGAACAAAGGACAAAGGAGGGGAUGCUCACUCUGGAAUAUGGUGGUCAGGAGAGAGAAAGAGAUAUUUGUGCCAGCUUGAACAAUCAGGUCUUCUAGGUGGAAAAUAAAGAAGAAGGUUGCUCCAGUUUGAGGGAUGAGCAUAUGCAAAGAUACAGAAUUGUUACUCAGCCAAGUAGUUUGAUAUGGGCUGGGGCACUGAAUGGUAGGGUGGGAUUCAGACCAGAUCAUUGACAGAUAAAUGAGAUUAUCAUUCAAUGUAGAUUGACACAAAUCACUUUUUUUUUGGAGAAAGAAAAAUGAUAUUUAAUGGCAGGUUUAAAAUUACGAUGGCUUUAAAAGGAACAGAAUUAUUGCACUCACUUUUUAAGUACCUGGUUAUCUCUCUGAACCACAGGUAACCGGAGUUCAAAGAGUUAACAUAGUCUGAAGCCUCUCAUUGGUCUCAGAUCCAGAAAAGUUGCUAGGUUACUUUGCAGAAGAGAAACAAAUAAAAACACUUUCCCAAUUGAAAAGAAAAUUAAUAGUAAAAGAUGUGUUUAGGGACUUUACACAUCUGCAGAGCAUUUUGUGUGUGUGUGUGUGUGUGUGUGUGUGUGUGUGUGUAACAGCAUUAACACUUAAGUAAUAAAAAUAACUAGGGUGGUUGGGUUUUCAGACUUGCAGGAUAGAACUUGUAUGAAAGGUCUGGUAAGGAGUGUCAAGUAUAAUGAGGAAUAAGAAAGGUUAAAGAGUUUAAAACCAAUUAGAAUUUGAAGUUCUUGAUUUCAGAACUCUAAAAUCCUUUUUUUUUUUUAAGUAUGAUAUCUCUUUAAGAGCCAUUUGGUGUACUUCAUAGCCUGAUUCAUGCCACCAGCUGCCUCUGAUUUCAAUGAGAAAUGCAGAAAAUUUAUAGGGAACUGUAAAAUGGGGACAGAUUUUUAGUUUUCUAAAUUGAGGUUUAACUGGCAAACUUGUAAAGGUUGAAGAAACCACAGAGCCAAGCUAUGGGAAGCUGGUUUCUUUUCUGGUCAGAAGGAAUGAACACACAAACGCAUAUCUAACUCACAAAGUGCUGGAAGAGAGAAAGCAAUGCUCUUUCCAGAGGAGGAACACGGAAAAAUCAGCCUUGUGGGUGAACAGGAGGAGAGUCACAUUCGCCAGCAGGCAGCACCCUGUGCAGGCAGUGGGAGAAAUCUGAGCUUCAGCAGCGUCCGGAGCAGGAUUUGCACGAAGUCUCCUGUUUCAAGUUUUAUGUCUCCUGGAGUCCUGGGGAAGGCACCCAGCCCACCCACAGCUCCCUUCUCAGAGCCCUAAGAAUUGAUGAGAAAGCCCCUCACUACCACAUGCAGGACAGGCAGGUAAAGACAUUGAGGUUCAGAGAAACUAAGCCUGCCCGUGCCUGUAAGUGAAUGAUAUAUGUCUAGAGCCCAGGGCCCCCCUGAUCUCAAGUGCAAAGCUCUUCCCUGUCGUCUGCAAAUUUCUCGUACUUCUUGUGGACUCUGAACAUUCAUGUGCCAUGCUGACAUGUGAUUACAAGAUUUUACAGAAGACAAAAAAUAGCUUCUAUUUAAAAAAAUAAAUGAUUAGGCUCUGUUAUGGGCUGAAUUACAUUCCCCUCAAAUGCAUAUGUUGAAUUUCUAACCCUCAGUACUUCAGAAGGUGACUGUGUUUGGAAAAAGGGCUUUUAAUGAGGUGUUUAAGUUAAAAUGGGAUCCUUAGAAUGGGCCCUAAUCCAAUACAAUUGGUGGCUUUAUAAGAGGACAUUAAGACACAGACACACACAGAGGGAAGACCAUGUGAAGACGUAGGGUGAAGACGGCCAUCUGCAGGCCAAGGAUAAAAGCCACAAAAGAAACCAAAUCUGCCAACACUUCCAUCUCGGACAGGUUUUGUUUAUAGUCCCGAAAGACACAAUCCUGAAAUCUAUAAUCCCAAAUAUGGAAAUUCCAAAAAGUCAAAACCUCUAAAGUCUAAAUCCCUAAUAUCUAAAAUCCCCAAAAUCAAAAUCACAAGAUAGUUGCAUCACAUUAGGUGGAAAUAUUUACUUUGUCACUGUCUUUAUGCAGAGGAAAAUGGAUUUCAAUUGAAUCCUCAAACCACAAAGACAGAUUUGGAAUUAGGUGUGAUUGAGGUUUCUAAAGGUGAACUUCAAGGUGUUACCAAUAAAGUCUGUUUUUUUCCAUUCUGUCCAAUGUGUUUGGCAGAAACUUCAGAUGAGUGGACUGGUCACAUGAUACAGCAAUGACAAAAGCUUCAGUAUUGGCAUUCAUUCCAGCUGAUGGCAUUCCAGGAGCUUUUAAUGAAUUAAAGCCACAUUUGCCUGAAGAAGCCAGCGAAGUUACUAACUGGUUCAAAAACGAUUAUGUGCACGAUGGGCAGUAUUGUUGCAGUUCAGUCACCAGUAUUGCUUCCACCAGAUUUGUGGUCUAUAUAUGUGUGCAUAUGGAAUAGAUUUCCACAGACCCACAACGCGGAAGCAUGGCACAGAAGAUGGGAAAACUUAAUGGGGAAUACUCACGUAGAUGUAUAUUAAACCAUAGAAGAAUUUUGAAAAGAGCAGCGUCACAUAGAAAAUAAAUGUGAACAUAUUCUCCAAGGACAGCCAUGUCCUAAAAGAAAAAAAGCAGCUAUUUUUUGUGAUGUGAGACUUAAAAAUAUAGUUAAUGACUGUGAAAGUUGGCCAGCUCUUAUGGACUAUCUCCAUGCAAUUGCCCAUAAUCUAGCUCCAUAACUUUUUUAUUUGUUGAAUUUUCUUUUUAGUUUUUAGUUUUUAUUUUUAGUUUUUUUCACUAUUUGAAAUUGUCAGCAUUAUUUUUUAUAAUUCGCUAUGCUACCUAUUUCAUCUUUGCAUCAUUUCCAAUACUGCAUGCGUUGUAUAAAGAGUUUUAGAGAGUCCUAAUUUGCUUUGUGCAUUUUUGCAAAUGUAACUCCAUGAAAGUGCAUUUUCAAAAUGUUGAACUUGCGUGUAAGCAGUAUGUGUGUGCAUAAAGACAUUAAAACUUCCUCGACAAAUGAAAAUGUAUCUUCUUUGUACAUCUGCUUUUAUGAAAGAUACAAUUUCUCAAUGCCUUGGCUCUUUGGGCAACUGAUGUGGUGGUGAUAUGGUAGUGACUCAUCACGGUUUUUGAUCAAUCUUAUCAAAAGACUUAGAAGAGUCUAAGAAUCACAGCAUUUCAGAUAACUGCUGUAUAAAGCUGGGGGCACACAAUUACCAACCACAGUGUGAUAUACAUUUUUAUAUUUUGCUUUUUGAUUUAUUUAUUUAUGAAUAUGGUUCAUCUGUUCAUAACUGUUAAACCCAUGUGACUGUUGUUAGUAUAUCUGAGUGUUUCUGCUUGCAAAAAUAUGGUAUUAUUGUCCAUUUUAUUGUGUAAAGUAGCCUAUGAAGAGUUCUGUCAUGUUUUUGUGUGUUUCUUAAAUAAAUCCCCUUUAAAAAUGUAAGUAAAUAUUUUACAACGUUUUGAAAACUUUUUUUUUUUUUUUUUUUUAAGAUGGAGUCUCACUUUUUUUGUUGUUGCCCAGGCUGGAGUGCAGUGGCACAAUCUCAGCUCACUGCAACAUCCACCUCCUGGGUUCAAGCUAUUCUCCUGCCUCAGCCUCCUGAGUAGCUGGGAUUACAGGCAUCCACCACCAUGCCUGGCUAAUUUUUGUAUUUUUAGUAGAGAUGGGGUUUCGCCAUGUUGGCCAGGCUGGUUUUGAACUCCUGGCCUCUGGUGAUCCACCCACCUCGGCCUCCCAAAGUGCUGGGAUUACAGGCGUGAGCCACUGCACCCGGCUGAAAAAGUUUUUUUCUAAAAUAUUUUUGGAAUUUUGAUUUUUCAGGAUUUUAACAUUGGGGAUGAUGGCAUUUGGGAUUAUGAUCAGCUCCCAUCUUGGACUUCUGGCCUCUAGAAUUGUGAGAAAAUAAAUAUCUGUGAUUUAAGUCCC
Molecule: long non-coding RNA, 4356 nt
Organism: Gorilla gorilla gorilla (western lowland gorilla)
Lineage: Eukaryota; Metazoa; Chordata; Mammalia; Primates; Hominidae
Exons: 2
Source: RefSeq, a predicted model, not a curated record